GGCACUUUGGCGGAGUGGUUAACGCGAUGCCCUGCUAAGGCAUUUCCUUCGGGAGCGAGUGUUCGAAUCACUCAGGUGUCG
This 81-nucleotide transfer RNA is filed under the name Monilinia vaccinii-corymbosi. Its description in RNAcentral is "tRNA-Ser". It matches the Rfam family "tRNA". Rfam says of the family: Transfer RNA (tRNA) molecules are approximately 80 nucleotides in length. Their secondary structure includes four short double-helical elements and three loops (D, anti-codon, and T loops). RNAcentral also lists the same sequence under 6 other names. Lineage: Eukaryota; Fungi; Ascomycota; Leotiomycetes; Helotiales; Sclerotiniaceae. The record is from RNAcentral.